CAAGGUUGUCAAUGGUCCAAAGGAGCAUAACUGGUGGGGAGGGAGCAGUCCCUUUGUGCUUUCCAGGCAUCACUCCUGCGCAGCUCAACCAGAAACUUAAAAAAAAAUGGAAUAGGAGGCAUUCACGUGUGGAGGAGUGACGGCAGGGCAUCGUGAGCACAGCGCCCUGUUUCUGUAAGAGCGGGAAGCCGGUUGCUCACAAUGAGAACAUGGAGGAUCAUGCACGCAGCAGCCUCGGAGCAGGAGGAGGUGUGGCCGCGGCCUCCAGGAGCGAUUCGGAAGCUCAAGGUGAAAGCGGAGAGAGAAACAAGACCCUGCUGUUUAGAUGCCAUUUAAAUAAAGCUGGAGAAGGCAAAGUCAUCAGCGGUGAC
This is a long non-coding RNA of Meriones unguiculatus (Mongolian gerbil), 371 nucleotides long. RefSeq lists it as uncharacterized. The record is from RefSeq and is a predicted model, not a curated record. NCBI's taxonomy places the organism in Eukaryota, Metazoa, Chordata, Mammalia, Rodentia, Muridae. The transcript is spliced from 3 exons.